CGGGGGACAACAUUCCGAAAGGGAUGCUAAUACCGGAUGUGACGCUCCUAUCGCAUGACGGGAGCGUGAAAGAUGGCCUCUACAUGUAAGCUAUCGCUAAAGGAUGGGCCUGCGUCUGAUUAGCUAGUUGGUAGUGUAACGGACAACCAAGGCGAUGAUCAGUAGCCGGUCUGAGAGGAUGAACGGCCACAUUGGGACUGAGACACGGCCCAG
This 213-nucleotide ribosomal RNA is filed under the name uncultured bacterium. RNAcentral describes it as "partial 16S ribosomal RNA". It matches the Rfam family "Bacterial small subunit ribosomal RNA", at positions 137 to 334 of the family's 1533-position model. The record is from RNAcentral.